This 407-nucleotide ribosomal RNA is filed under the name Helix philibinensis. Its description in RNAcentral is "partial 16S ribosomal RNA". It matches the Rfam family "Bacterial large subunit ribosomal RNA", at positions 1832 to 2601 of the family's 2925-position model. The record is from RNAcentral. Lineage: Eukaryota; Metazoa; Mollusca; Gastropoda; Stylommatophora; Helicidae.
AGCUAUACGAAUUAAUGUGUAGUUAUUUCUGCUCCAUGAUUAUUAAAUAGCCGCAGUACUCUGACUGUGCAAAGGUAGCAUAAUCAGUUGGCUCUUAAUUAGAGUCUGGUAUGAAUGAAAAUAUGAGUGGUAGCUGUCUUAGUGUAUUUAUAUGAAUUUAUUAAACGAGUGCAAAGACUUGUAACUUAAUAAUAGACGAGAAGACCCUAGAAACUUGGUAUAGUUUUUGUUGGGGCGACAUGGUUACACUUAACUAACUUUAUAUGACAUGACAUAAUAUUGGUAGAGUAAGUUACUCUAGGGAUAACAGCAUAAUUUAAAUAGUUUGUGACCUCGAUGUUGGACUAGGUAUUGUACCCCUUAGACAGGGGUAUUAAGUGCUCUGUUCGAGCAAUAUACACCUACAU